Cebus imitator (Panamanian white-faced capuchin) is the source of this 428-nucleotide long non-coding RNA. RefSeq lists it as uncharacterized. The transcript is spliced from 2 exons. NCBI's taxonomy places the organism in Eukaryota, Metazoa, Chordata, Mammalia, Primates, Cebidae. The record is from RefSeq and is a predicted model, not a curated record.
AGGAUGGAUUUAUUGACUUUUUAGAGUCUAUUGCUGCUGUAAAUCUAAUCGUGCAAGAAAAAAUGGAGCAAAAAUUAAAAUGGUAUUUUAAGCUGUAUGACGUUGAUGGAAGUGGCUCUAUUGACAAAAAUGAACUACUGGACGUGUUUGUGGCGGUACAAACCCUCAAUGGCCAGCAAACUCUGAGUCCUGAGGAAUUCACCAACCUGGUGUUCCAUAAGAUCGAUAUAAACAAUGAUGGUAAUGGAGCUACUCUCUUCUGGAUCGCUUUUCUUUCAAAGUAGGAGAUGUUGGUAGUGGGGCAUGUCAUUUAGACAAAAGCAGAAACCAUUCAAGAGAACCAUAGUUAUGACUUGGGCUUCAUAACUGGACCAAUCCAAUGUUUUCAAUAUGAUUCAAUUGAGUGGUAAAUAUUUAUUGACCAUAUU